UACCAGCACCCCGAGUGGUCGGGACGUUUAUUGGGGCUAAAGCAUCCGUAGCCGGUUCUACAAGUCUUCCGUUAAAUCCACCUGCUUAACAGAUGGGCUGCGGAAGAUACUAUAGAGCUAGGAGGCGGGAGAGGCAAGCGGUACUCGAUGGGUAGGGGUAAAAUCCUCUGAUCCAUUGAAGACCACCAGUGGCGAAGGCGGCUUGCCAAUACGCGCUCGACGGUGAGGGAUGAAAGCUGGGGGAGCAAACCGG
Molecule: ribosomal RNA, 253 nt
Filed under: uncultured bacterium
Lineage: Bacteria
Description: partial 16S ribosomal RNA
Rfam family: Archaeal small subunit ribosomal RNA
Source: RNAcentral